This 3797-nucleotide long non-coding RNA is filed under the name Daucus carota (carrot). Its description in RNAcentral is "long non-coding RNA (DCAR_LNC006367)". The record is from RNAcentral. Lineage: Eukaryota; Viridiplantae; Streptophyta; Magnoliopsida; Apiales; Apiaceae.
AAACAUAUUGGAUAUCUUAUAAAUUAAAUUCAUUUAUCACUUAUAAUUUAAACAGUCUCAUAAUUUAGUUUUGGCGAAAGUUCACACCAGAAAGAAAAAUCCCAUGGAGGUAAAAAAAAUAAAAAUGGUUCUGCUGAAUGUUCCUGUGAAGAGCAAAUAAGUAGUCAGUCCUGCACGGCUUCUUCACGUUGUGUCCCCACACACAAGUCACACAACUGAGAACAUACUCCAUCUGUCUCAGUCAAUUGGAGGCGUUUCUUUUUCACUGCAUGCAUUUUAAGACUCCUAUAUAACAAGCUACCAGAUUCCCUAAUGAUUUUCUCCAUGACAUCGCAGUAGAAGUAAAUCCAACUAUUCCACCUACAAUCAAUAACAAAGAAUUAGACCACGAAAUCGACUAUGCACAGAGUACACACUCUCAAUCCAAGAUCAACAUAACCAUUUCACUAAGCUUAUUCUGACUUAUAAGUCAAAACUCCAGGAUCAAGAUAACUACUUAACUAAGCUUGUUAGUGUGUGUAAAGACAGAGCAAUGCUAGUACCCCAUGGGAGGAGUAUUGCCUGUUGGAAUAUUUGUUUAAUCUAAACUUGUGUUAAAAUAAAUUAUUGUUAGCAGGUGGUUUAGUUUGUAUGUAUUAGCAGGAGAGAUAUGAUAGGAGAGUCAUGGGUAGUUGAAGUAUUUUAGGAGUCCACUACGUUAGUUGCUAUUUUUGUGUUACCACCUUGUGCCUGUAGUUCUAUUUAAAUUGCAUGUAUCUUGUUUAGUUCAUUAUUAGAAGAAGAGAAUACAAUGUAGUCUUUAUGUAUCUUCUCCGUUUAUUCAUAUAAAACUACAAUCUCUAUAUCCUUAUUAUUAUUUUUAUCAAAUUUCAACAUGGUACCAGAGCUUGGGGGAGUAUCAAUGUGACGCCCCCAGAUCCGCAUUCCGCAGAUUUGGUCCAUCACUAUANUGUGACGCCCCCAGAUCCGCAUUCCGCAGAUUUGGUCCAUCACUAUACAUCUGGCCCAAAACAAAACUUCCAUUACAUAUUUAAGAUUACACAAUCCAACUCUUGCCCCACAAGUCCAGGGUCGAUCGUCUUACAACAUUACUAUCAGGUCUAUCUUGAUUACAUAUUUGCAAGUCCGAUUACAGACCAUUAUAAUAACUAUAGUUGUACUACCAAACAACGUAGUCUAGCAGCCUCAGCUUGUGUGAUGAGCCUUUUCCUUGCCUAUGCCAAAACCCGUUUCCGGGCAAAUCUCUUGGGUUGUGCCAAUCUCACUGCUCAAAAGAAUAUAAAGUAGAUACAAGAAUGAGCAAUCAAAUUGCUCAGCAAGUCAACAUAUCACAGAAUAACAAAUAACAAGAUAUGCAAAUAAGCCAUCGAAAGCAUAUCAAAUCAAAGCAACAAAACAGUUAUCAUCAAACGACAAAACAAUGUCAAGUAAAGGAACUGCUGGUCUUCCACCUCUCGGUAACACUACAUGGCUCGAUCAACACCAUUUCGUGAAUACCGUUCUCCUGUGUAGUCCUAGUGGUCUGAUCGUAACCACUGAAGACACACCAACACUCUCUUUGCUAGCAUCAGGGUUUAACACUGGAACCCCACUAUCUGCCUUACCAGAUAGUAAAUUUCAACUCUACCACGAAUUUAAUAAAUUCGUGUUGACCAGCUUGAACCGAUUCCUCCGAAUACAAGGAAAUUUUCCCAAACAAACACUUCUCAAUCAUCACUGCUAAUUUUUAUCAAAAAAGUGCGAACAAUGCACCCUUUCGUCAUUACAAAGAUUACCCGAAGGUAGAAGUGAAAGAUAAUUAAAAUAAUUAGAUUCCAAAAGAUAAGAUGAUCUCCAAAAAGAGUAAAUUGAGAUCAUCGCUGCCAAGUAUUCACAUCAAGCUUCGAAGAUUCAAAAUAUUAUCGUUAUAGGAUCAACUCAUUCCCGAACAAUGGGAGAGCUCGAAUUAUAUAAAAUAAUAUGUGAGCAAUAUCUUUAAAGCCUUCAAAAUGAAGCAGAGAUAUUUUCUCGAUUCACAAUGAUACGAAAUGUAAUAUUUUCACAAUCAACACUUUUCACAAAAUAUGAAAUAGGCACGAAAAACUUCACAUCAAGACAGGGAUAGUGAACUUGCCUGUCGUCCUUAGCUUGAUAAUAUUCUUGUAAUUAUCACGUAUAAUCGGUUUCAUCCUUCCGAAUAUUCAAUUUCUAAUUCACGUAAAAUAAUACUUUAAUAUCUCAUCAAAGAAAACAAAAAUGCCAAAAUAAUCUAUAUUAUGAAUCCGACAAAUAAUAUUAAGAAUUUGAUAGGAUAUCUAUCUCAUUUUCUUUUACACUGUAAACUAACAUAUUGUAUGUGUACAUGUAGUAGAUACACUUAUUUAAGUCCAGAGCCUAACUUUCUUUUAUCAACUACUAAAUAAAUCGUUUAUAUAGUCCAUAUUUGAUUAUUUAUUAAUGCUAUCUCUAUUUAAUUUUUAAACAAUUAUUCCACUUAUAUUUCGUUCCCCACAUUCCAUUUCUACUAAUCCAAGAAAUUUGUGGUUCAUCAUCACUUAUUCAUAUUUACUAAAUAAACAUCUAUCUGUCUAUUUAACAUCAAAAUCCUACACUCUCUAAUUAAUUCUACGUAUUCCUUUACCAACACUUAUUCACCAACCCAUUUAAUAAAUCGAUAAAUUAAAUAUAAAAAUCAUCUCCGCAUCCCCAAUUUAUUACCUCACAAUUAUUUUUAAUAAAUUCAUUUUAUAUUCUUAACUCAAAAUUAUUAUUAUUAUCAUUAUUCUCUCUCACAAAAUUUUAAUAUAUACCACCCCUCUCCCUUCUUCCUUUCCAUUGCCUCACACCUCCUCCUUUAACAACCUAUUCUGCUUAAUCAAUCAGCACAACCAAAACAGUUAAGUUAUUUAACCAAACUCAAAAUUCUUAAAUAGAAGACAUAAAACUCGUGUAUUAAUUAUUUUCAUGGCUCCUAUUUAAAUAGCUUUUAUUGAAUAAAAGAUGGGCUAUAAAUAUUCAAUAUUACCAUUAAUCAAAGAUAGAAAGAGAAUAUACCUUGAUGAUGGAUUCUGAUUCUUCUUUACUGUCUUGAGUUUUACUUGCUUUGGUACCUCCUGAAUUUGCCAAACUAAAACUAAACAACGUGUUUGGUAUUUAUACUAAUCAUAAAUCAUGGUUAAGAUUUAAUUUACCUUGGUUAACAAUUACUUGGGCACUACUCUUUGGUUUUUAAGUACCUGGUUUUGAUAAACCAAUGUGCCACAAACCACCCCAUUAGUCGGUUAGCUAGUUUUGUUAAAAUAUUUUUUUUUUAUUUAUUUAUAUAUUCUUUUUAUUUGCCCGUAUAUUAAAUGUUUCGCAACUGGAAAUAUUUUAGCCCCGGGUCAUUUAACAACUUCCUAUUUAAAUAUUUUAAUAAAAAAUAUCAUUCGGGAUUAUACUAAAUAAUUAAUUAAAUAAUUAUUCUAGUAUUUCUCUAAAUAUUUCAAAAUUUAAUAGUUAUAACGAAAUAUUUCUUUUAGCUAAACCCGUAAAAUUUAUAAUAUUCCCGGGCCAUAACAAAAUUAUACAUCUACCAAUUUAUUUACGUGGCCAACAUUUAGAUCCUAAUGGUACGAAAAUGGAUUUAAUUUGCUAGCCGAUAUAAACAAACCUCGUACUAGCCUGAAAUGUUUUACGUACCAAUAUUUUUAUUAAAUAAUAAUUUCACAAUUAUUUAAAUGAUAGCUUUAACCGCAUAAAAUUAAAUAAUUAAUUUGUUUACGUACUUGAAAUUUUACGGUUGUUACAUUCUUCCCUCGUUUAAAGGAUUCCGACCU